Molecule: long non-coding RNA, 2396 nt
Organism: Lathyrus oleraceus (garden pea)
Lineage: Eukaryota; Viridiplantae; Streptophyta; Magnoliopsida; Fabales; Fabaceae
Exons: 2
Source: RefSeq, a predicted model, not a curated record
CAACUGAGUCCAAGCGUUGGUGCCCAUGCACAACUCAGCAACGUUGAAGAAAGCUUUUCGCGUUUCGAUGUGCAACGCUCUUCGACGUUCUCUUUUUCAAGCCGCCUUCGCCUCUUGCGUCCGUGGCAUCUAGACGCCGUCUAUCAUUCAGCCUUCACAUCGAUCCCCCCAAUAUGCGCUCGAAAUGGAAACGAGGGAAUUGAAAUUGACACGAGGAAAACUAACUGUAAUAGAGUCUCAACGUGAACGAGUAUUGGAUUCUCCUUUUGUUGAUUUCAAAUCCUACUGCUUCUUCCCGAAUCUUCCGCCACCGUAUACGCUGAUGUGAAUCAAGUCUUCGUUAAUCCUCUAACUUCCAGGUGAAUUUCUUUUGCAGGAUGAACAAAUUUGAUCAAGGGGCAAUGUCCUUCUGCAGUGCCGGAACUUCACCGUCCUCUAUCAAACAAUGUUAUCCUCCAUGUUAAAAUCACGUUUACCAUCGAACUGGUCUCGGUUCCCUUGGAAACUAAAGGUGAGAUGAUCUUGAUCCUCCUUGGUUGGACCAGUACCCGAAUUUCUUUCUAGAAAGUCGUGGACUUUCAUGUUGGGUGCGGCCUUUCUCCGUAGAUUGUCAGCAUUACCUUUGUUAGGAUUAUUAAACUCCUCAGAAUCGACUUCUUCUUUAGAAAGGUCAGGUUCAAUGGUUCCUUCUUGAAGAGCUCGUGAUAGAGAAUGAUGAACAUGAUCGCGACAUUGCAGCAUUGGCCAGAGAUGCAGGUUGACAUGUUAUCCUCAUAUGGCUUGGGCAGCUCCAACUCUUCUUGUGUUUCUACUGAGGCGGAGAGUGACAUGGUUUAUUCAUUUUUUAUAUAUUUGAAUGCUUAUUGGUUAAUGUAUUUGCAAUUCCUAAAACCACCCUAUGACUGUUAUCUUUGAUUUAACAGAAUUGGCAGGUGCAUAGGGUAAUUCUGAGUUGCGAAUGGUUAAAUGAAUUUAUCGAGUUUGGAAUGUCAUGUCAUAUCCGUUUUCUGAGGGAGGUUUAUGAGAGAGUUUUGGUUAUCCUCUUGGUUUAGAUUAGGCUUGUAAUGACGAAAUGCUGACUUUGUUCUAUGAAAUCUGCAGGUUUUGCCCAAGUAGAAUUCAAAUGAACUCCAACCGUUAGUCGCCCUUUGCACAUGUAAUGAAAUUCUACUUUCAGUGAGAUGAAUGACGACUAGUCGUGCUAAAAAAUUACGUGUCUAAUCUGAACUGUUGGGAGGUUCUCUUGUUGCAAAUCGAUGGAUAUGCAGGGCUACAGCUAUGCCUAUGCAGGGCGGCUUGGCAUGAUCGAUGGAAGGCUUAUGGGACUCUUAUUUGAUGGCUGAUUUGGGCUCAAGUUUGAGAAUGACGCAUGGUUCGAAUUCAUGCCAAGUGAGCUAGCGUCGUGUUAGUGGCUAAUAAAGGUUUGUGUUAAUGAAUGAGAAAAUGUCAUCUCUGCUACAUCCGUACUGCCUGACAUUUAUCAGUUAGUUAGGAAGUGAAAUUAGAUUAAUUGGAGUGUGGUUGCUUUAGUCUGUUCAUUCCUUGGAUUAUCGGUUAAAAUGAGUGAGGAUGGUGUACCAAUAAGCUUGGUAGCAUAAAGUUCUGCAUGAUAUUUAACCGGUCAAUUAAGCCAGGGAUGAUUAAACACGAUACUGCAUGCUUGAGUGGAAGAUCCUUGGAAGAAUAACACAAUGCAAUCUAGCUUAAUAUCCACCACAACGAGUCUGGCUUCUUCCAGGACUGGAAGGUAUCCACCACAAGGUUUUGUACAGCAUGAACUAUAUGGAAGGAUUUCUAACCAUGACCAAUGUUGGUAAUACACACCCUCCCUAAAUCUCCAGAUUUGUCACAAACUUCUUGAAUGACAUGGCUAGUUCCAUAAGCAUGAGGCUCAACAGUAGGAAGCGAUUUUUGUUCAGUGGCGUCGGACAGCCGCGGAUAUGGGACAGUUCUCCUCAACUCCUUUUUUAUACGACUGUAUGCGAGUAGCAACUAGCCAUAUCAGAUUUUUCAGUAGCACAUUAACACAACCGAAUAAAGUCGCGACAAUAAGCGAGGGUAACAUUCCAACUGAAAUGUUACCAUUGUCUAACAUUUUCUCCUCUAAUGUAGCUGCUCCAACUUGGUUCCUGACUAUCUGCUUGAACGUCUCAAGACCCUUAUUGUUCUUCUUCGGAUCACGAUCGGCUUGUUGGCCUUGGCUUAAAAUGCUUAUGGUGUUUCUCCAUCAUAAGUCCUAGUGGAAUCCUCAUCCUGACCAUUGGAAACUCCAAUACCUUUACAACCCUUAUUAGUUGUAAAUUUGUAUCUUGGAUUUUCAAAUGAAAUGUUAAUUUGAAUCAUCUUUGUAAUGCAAGUAUGACGAAAUAAAUUAUGAACAAUUUUGGAAUUUGGAA